RNAcentral lists this ribosomal RNA (454 nucleotides) under uncultured bacterium. Its description in RNAcentral is "partial 16S ribosomal RNA". It matches the Rfam family "Bacterial small subunit ribosomal RNA", at positions 28 to 507 of the family's 1533-position model. The record is from RNAcentral.
GAUGAACGCUGACAGAAUGCUUAACACAUGCAAGUCUACUUGAACUUCGGUUUGGGUGGCGGACGGGUGAGUAACGCGUAAAGAACUUGCCUCACAGAUAGGGACAACAUUUGGAAACGAAUGCUAAUACCUGAUAUUAUGAUUUUAAGGCAUCCUAGAAUUAUGAAAGCUAUAUGCACUGUGAGAGAGCUUUGCGUCCCAUUAGCUAGUUGGAGAGGUAACGGCUCACCAAGGCGAUGAUGGGUAGCCGGCCUGAGAGGGUGAUCGGCCACAAGGGGACUGAGACACGGCCCUUACUCCUACGGGAGGCAGCAGUGGGGAAUAUUGGACAAUGGACCAAGAGUCUGAUCCAGCAAUUCUGUGUGCACGAUGAAGUUUUUCGGAAUGUAAAGUGCUUUCAGUUGGGAAGAAAAAAAUGACGGUACCAACAGAAGAAGUGACGGCUAAAUACGUG